CCUACGGGAGGCAGCAGUGGGGAAUUUUGGACAAUGGGGGCAACCCUGAUCCAGCCAUGCCGCGUGUGUGAAGAAGGCCCUCGGGUUGUAAAGCACUUUCGGACGGAACGAAAUCGCGCGGGUGAACAAUCCGCGUGGAUGACGGUACCGUAGGAAGAAGCACCGGCUAACUACGUGCCAGCAGCCGCGGUAAUACGUAGGGUGCGAGCGUUAAUCGGAAUUACUGGGCGUAAAGUGUGCGCAGGUGGCCGCGCAAGUCGAGUGUGAAAGCCCCGGGCUUAACUUGGGAAUUGCGCUCGAAACUACGUGGCUAGAGUGUGGCAGAGGAAGGUGGAAUUCCACGUGUAGCGGUGAAAUGCGUAGAGAUGUGGAGGAACACCGAUGGCGAAGGCAGCCUUCUGGGCCAACACUGACACUCAUGCACGAAAGCGUGGGGAGCAAACAGGAUUAGAUACCCUGGUAGUCCACGCCCUAAACGAUGAUGACUAGUUGUUGGGGGAGUUAAAUCCCUUAGUAACGCAGCUAACGCGUGAAGUCAUCCGCCUGGGGAGUACGGUCGCAAGAUUAAAACUCAAAGGAAUUGACGG
RNAcentral lists this ribosomal RNA (587 nucleotides) under uncultured bacterium. Its description in RNAcentral is "bacterial SSU rRNA". It matches the Rfam family "Bacterial small subunit ribosomal RNA", at positions 338 to 916 of the family's 1533-position model. The record is from RNAcentral.